Molecule: ribosomal RNA, 866 nt
Filed under: uncultured bacterium
Lineage: Bacteria
Description: bacterial SSU rRNA
Rfam family: Bacterial small subunit ribosomal RNA
Source: RNAcentral
UGGCUCAGGAUGAACGUUGGCGGCGUGCUUAACACAUGCAAGUCGAACGCAGAUAGCAAUAUUCGAGUGGCGCACGGGUGAGUAACACGUAGCUUACCUGCCCUGAAGAGUGGGAUAACGUUCCGAAAGGGAUGCUAAUACCGCAUAAGCUCCCGAGCUACAGAGGCUAGGGAGAAAACGGGGAAACUCGCUUCAGGAGGGGGCUGCGGCCCAUCAGCUAGUUGGUGAGGUAAAGGCUUACCAAGGCGACGACGGGUAGGGGACCUGAGAGGGUGACCCCCCACACUGGGACUGAGACACGGCCCAGACUCCUACGGGAGGCAGCAGUGAGGGAUAUUGCACAAUGGGCGCAAGCCUGAUGCAGCGACGCCGCGUGGAUGAAGAAGGCCUUCGGGUCGUAAAAUCCUUUUGCGCGUGACGAGGACAAGGACGGUAGCGCGCGAAUAAGUCUCGGCUAACUACGUGCCAGCAGCCGCGGUAAAACGUAGGAGACGAACGUUAUCCGGAGUUACUGGGCGUAAAGGGCGUGCAGGCGGCCUGAUAAGUUCGGCGUGAAAUUUUUCGGCUUAACCGGGGGAUGUCGUCGGAGACUGUCGGGCUAGAGGGUGAUAGAGGCGUGUGGAAUUCCGGGUGUAGUGGUGAAAUGCGUAGAGAUCCGGAGGAACACCAGUGGCGAAGGCGACACGCUGGGUCAUACCUGACGCUAAAACGCGACAGCAUGGGGAGCGAACGGGAUUAGAAACCCCGGUAGUCCAUGCCGUAAACGAUGCCAACUCGGUGUUUGGUCCGGGGAACCGGACUGGGUACCCAAGCAAACGCGGUAAGUUGGCCGCCUGGGGAGUACGGUCGCAAGAUUAAACUCAAAU